RNAcentral lists this ribosomal RNA (1420 nucleotides) under Phyllomedusa bicolor (two-colored leaf frog). RNAcentral's name for it is "partial 16S ribosomal RNA". It matches the Rfam family "Bacterial large subunit ribosomal RNA", at positions 371 to 2597 of the family's 2925-position model. The record is from RNAcentral. Lineage: Eukaryota; Metazoa; Chordata; Amphibia; Anura; Hylidae.
GCUAAUAAUCUAACUCAAAACUAACUAAUAAACCCAUAAAUUAUUGCAAUUUCUAACUAAAACAUUCUAUAUUUUUAGUAAAGGUGAUCGAAACAUUAUUUUGAAGUUAUAUAGCAGUACCGCAAGGGAAUGAUGAAAUAAAAAUGAAAAUCUUUUAAGCGUAAAGCAGUAGAGAUUAAUUCUCGUACCUUUUGCAUCAUGAUUUAACUAGUCAAAUCAAACAAAACGAAUUAAAGUUUGCCCUCCCGAAACUAAGCGAGCUACUUUAGGGUAGCUUUAUGAGCCAACCCGUCUCUGUUGCAAAAGAGUGGGAAAACCCUAAAAUAGAGGUGACAGACCUAACGAGCUUAGUGAUAGCUGGUUACUUAAGAAAAGGAUUUUAGUCCAACCCAACUUUCAUUUAAUAAUUAUAAAUAUACACUGAAUUUUGGAGUAAUUCAAAUAAGGUACAGCCUAUUUGAAACAGGAUACAACCUUUAUAAAUGGGUAAUUUAAUAAUUAAUAAUAAAGUAGGCCUAAAAGCAGCCAUCUUUAAAAAAGCGUCAUAGCUUAUUUACCACUAACCUUAAUUCCACUAACUACCAAAAACCCUUAAUCUGUAUUAAGUAACUCUAUAUAUUUAUAGAACAUAAUAUGUUAGAACUAGUAACAAGAAUCAAACCUUCUCCUAAAUGCAAGUGUAAAUCAGACUGGAUUAACCACUGAUUUUUAAUAUUUAAAACUAGGGUAAUAAAUUAUCAAGAAAACUUUACCAAAAACAAUAUUAAUCUAACACAAGAGCAUUUCAAGACAGAUUAAAAAGAAAAGAAGGAACUCGGCAAACAUUAACCUCGCCUGUUUACCAAAAACAUCGCCUCCUGCCUAACCUAUAGGAGGUCCAGCCUGCCCAGUGACUCUGUUUAACGGCCGCGGUAUCCUAACCGUGCGAAGGUAGCGUAAUCACUUGUUCUUUAAAUGAGGACUAGUAUGAAUGGCAUCACGAGGGUUAUACUGUCUCCUUUUCUAAAUCAGUGAAACUAAUCUUCCCGUGAAGAAGCGGGAAUAAAACUAUAAGACGAGAAGACCCUAUGGAGCUUUAAACUUCCCAGCAAUUAUUUUCUAUUAACACAUCUCAAGACUAUAAAAUAAACCUUAAUAACAUGACUGCAAGUUUUCGGUUGGGGUGACCACGGAGUAAAACUUAACCUCCACAAUGAAUUAGAACCAUAACUCUAAGCAAAGAAAUACAAUUCUAUGCAUCAAAAAACUGACAUUAUUGACCCAAUAUUUUGAUCAAUGAACCAAGUUACCCUAGGGAUAACAGCGCAAUCCAUCUCAAGAGCUCUUAUCGACAGAUGGGUUUACGACCUCGAUGUUGGAUCAGGGUAUCCCAGUGGUGCAGCCGCUACUAAAGGUUCGUUUGUUCAACGAUUAAAACCCU